Molecule: ribosomal RNA, 676 nt
Filed under: Bifidobacterium pseudolongum
Lineage: Bacteria; Bacillati; Actinomycetota; Actinomycetes; Bifidobacteriales; Bifidobacteriaceae
Description: bacterial SSU rRNA
Rfam family: Bacterial small subunit ribosomal RNA
Source: RNAcentral
UUGGCAGCUUGCUGCCGGGGUGAGAGUGGCGAACGGGUGAGUAAUGCGUGACCGACCUGCCCCAUGCACCGGAAUAGCUCCUGGAAACGGGUGGUAAUGCCGGAUGUUCCACAUGAGCGCAUGCGAGUGUGGGAAAGGCUUUUUGCGGCAUGGGAUGGGGUCGCGUCCUAUCAGCUUGUUGGUGGGGUAACGGCCUACCAAGGCGUUGACGGGUAGCCGGCCUGAGAGGGCGACCGGCCACAUUGGGACUGAGAUACGGCCCAGACUCCUACGGGAGGCAGCAGUGGGGAAUAUUGCACAAUGGGCGCAAGCCUGAUGCAGCGACGCCGCGUGCGGGAUGGAGGCCUUCGGGUUGUAAACCGCUUUUGUUCAAGGGCAAGGCACGGUUUCGGCCGUGUUGAGUGGAUUGUUCGAAUAAGCACCGGCUAACUACGUGCCAGCAGCCGCGGUAAUACGUAGGGUGCAAGCGUUAUCCGGAUUUAUUGGGCGUAAAGGGCUCGUAGGCGGUUCGUCGCGUCCGGUGUGAAAGUCCAUCGCUUAACGGUGGAUCCGCGCCGGGUACGGGCGGGCUUGAGUGCGGUAGGGGAGACUGGAAUUCCCGGUGUAACGGUGGAAUGUGUAGAUAUCGGGAAGAACACCAAUGGCGAAGGCAGGUCUCUGGGCCGUUACUGACGCU